CCUUACGGUGCUCAGGCCCCAACAAGCAAGCUGAAUGCUGCCUUUAGAGAUCAGAAUGGAGGUCUGCCAAAACUAGUGCAGCUCCAUGUGUGAUAUCUGAUGCAAAUGGCUCAAGAAGUUAACUCGCCUAUCUGCACACAGUUACAUCUGCUGUAAUCUUUUUUUCAGCCUCAACUUUAAAAAAUAAUUGGUGCAGGCUGAAGAACAGUGAAAGACAUUAACCUAUGUGAUCACAGUGCCAGCAGGAGGGCUUGGCAGAGAGCCCUGUUUGGUGUCUUUCAUCCUGAGAAGCUGGAGAGGAAAUCGAUGAGCAUCCAAUUUUGCAGGCAAAUUGUUGUGGAGUGUGUCAGACCAGCUUGCUGACUGAACAGAAAGCCAGUUUCCAAAAUAAAAAUGGGCUCCUAGCUUGAAAUUUUGAGCAGACUGUAAUUGCCCAGUGACACAGAACCUGCACCUGCAAGACCCCCCAGCCUUUGGGACCAACAUCUUAUGGAAACAUGAGAAACCACUACUUUCUGUGUUUCUGCCUUUUUACAUUUAGGUUUCACUUGACUUCCACCAAAAUCAAUAUGAUUUAAGAGUUGACAUCAGUGGGACCCUUCCUGAAUCUUUCCCGCUCGUUGUUGGGAUAAAAUACAGAAACACUGAAGCAAAGUCCUACAUGACAGACAGUAGGAAGUGAAGGAAUAGAAGAAGAAUCCUGUCCUACUGUGCUCUGAGACAUACAUGUCAAAAUAUACUCCAUAUAAUUCUUCCAGACUUUGCUUGUUUUGAUGAGAGCCUGUAAAACUGAGCUAUCAGUACUACAAUGGAGGUCCUUUGUAAACUAACCAUUUUGAUGCAGGAACUGGUGUAUGCCUAUCUCUAACAGUCUCUUAUAGCGCGAUAUAGCGUGGAGAAAAUGAAGCCUUGAACCGAUUCUUUGCUCAUU
Molecule: long non-coding RNA, 931 nt
Filed under: Struthio camelus australis
Lineage: Eukaryota; Metazoa; Chordata; Aves; Struthioniformes; Struthionidae
Description: lncRNA (ENSSCUG00000012008.1)
Source: RNAcentral